AUAGUUUUAGGCGAUGGAGUUCGCCUUAAAUCUGCAGCAAGCAGUGAUGACUCCUACCAAAAA
Molecule: non-coding RNA, 63 nt
Filed under: Neomoorella glycerini
Lineage: Bacteria; Bacillati; Bacillota; Clostridia; Neomoorellales; Neomoorellaceae
Description: Moorella glycerini Fluoride sequence
Rfam family: Fluoride riboswitch aptamer (crcB RNA motif)
Source: RNAcentral